This 1373-nucleotide ribosomal RNA is filed under the name metagenome. RNAcentral's name for it is "bacterial SSU rRNA". It matches the Rfam family "Bacterial small subunit ribosomal RNA". The record is from RNAcentral.
AGAGUUUGAUCCUGGCUCAGGACGAACGCUGGCGGCACACUUAACACAUGCAAGUCGAACGAGAGAAGAGGAGCUUGCUUUUCUGAUCUAGUGGCGGACGGGUGAGUAACACGUGAGCAAUCUGCCUUUCAGAGGGGGAUACCGAUUGGAAACGAUCGUUAAUACCGCAUAACAUAAUUGAACCGCAUGAUUUGAUUAUCAAAGAUUUAUCGCUGAAAGAUGAGCUCGCGUCUGAUUAGCUAGUUGGUAAGGUAACGGCUAACCAAGGCGACGAUCAGUAGCCGGACUGAGAGGUUGAUCGGCCACAUUGGGACUGAGACACGGCCCAGACUCCUACGAGAGGCAGCAGUGGGGAAUAUUGCACAAUGGAGGAAACUCUGAUGCAGCGAUGCCGCGUGAGGGAAGAAGGUUUUAGGAUUGUAAACCUCUGUCUUCAGGGACGAAAAAAGACGGUACCUGAGGAGGAAGCUCCGGCUAACUACGCGCCAGCAGCCGCGGUAAUACGUAGGGAGCGAGCGUUGUCCGGAAUUACUGGGUGUAAAGGGAGCGUAGGCGGGAUCGCAAGUCAGAUGUGAAAACUAUGGGCUUAACCCAUAAACUGCAUUUGAAACUGUGGUUCUUGAGUGAAGUAGAGGUAAGCGGAAUUCCUAGUGUAGCGGUGAAAUGCGUAGAUAUUAGGAGGAACAUCAGUGGCGGAGGCGGCUCACUGGGCUUUAACUGACGCUGAGGCUCGAAAGCGUGGGGAGCAAACAGGAUUAGAUACCCUGGUAGUCCACGCCGUAAACGAUGAUUACUAGGUGUGGGGGGACUGACCCCUUCCGUGCCGCAGCAAACGCAAUAAGUAAUCCACCUGGGGAGUACGACCGCAAGGUUGAAACUCAAAGGAAUUGACGGGGGCCCGCACAAGCAGUGGAGUAUGUGGAUUAAUUCGAAGCAACGCGAAGAACCUUACCAGGUCUUGACAUCGUAUGCAUAGCUCAGAGAUGAGUGAAAUCUCUACGGAGACAUAUAGACAGGUGGUGCAUGGUUGUCGUCAGCUCGUGUCGUGAGAUGUUGGGUUAAGUCCCGCAACGAGCGCAACCCUUACUGUUAGUUGCUACGCAAGAGCACUCUAGCAGGACUGCCGUUGACAAAACGGAGGAAGGUGGGGAUGACGUCAAAUCAUCAUGCCCCUUAUGACCUGGGCCUCACACGUACUACAAUGGCUGUCAACAGAGGGAAGCAAAGCCGCGAGGUGGAGCGAACCCCUAAAAGCAGUCUUAGUUCGGAUUGUAGGCUGCAACCCGCCUACAUGAAGUCGGAAUUGCUAGUAAUCGCAGAUCAGCAUGCUGCGGUGAAUACGUUCCCGGGCCUUGUACACACCGCCCGUCACG